AGCUAUAGUUUUUUGGUCAAGAUUUUGUUUGUUUAUUCCUUCCAGAGUCUUGAUAAGUUUAUCAAAGUACAAGAACAAGUGAGGUUGUGUAUAAACUCUUUAAUUUAUAGUGAUUUCAUUCAUGAAAUUAGAAGAGAAUUCCAAUAAAAAACCAAUAAUGGGCGUUUGACCUCUCAACAAACAUCUGCUUUGAUCUAGAAUCGCUGUUUGUCAAAGUAUACAGUAAACUAAUCGUGUUUGUUUUGGUGAUGAUUGAAGGUUUUGGAGGCUCAUUUGUAAGUUCUCUUUCCUUCAUUCUUCCAGAUUUGAUAAUUGGUGUCAUUAAACAUUGGUAAACUCAAAAACCAAUAAUGAAGAGAGUAAUAUAGGCUUUAAAAACAAAGAAUUUCAUUAUCAUUUUUUGACAAAAUCUUGUUGGGAGAGAGCAUACAUAAUCUAUCUCUUCACUCCAUUCAUGUCAGUUGUCAAAAGGUCGUAUCUACAGUUACAAGUUCUUAUAAUAUUCUAUAAUGGAAUUAAAUAAUUCAGUUAACAAAACUUAUAUAUUAAUCUUUCAGCAGCCAUGCAGCUGAGAAGUGAGAUGAAGAAAGGCAUCUUCGUCGCAUGGAAUUGUAAGACCACCCAUGGGAUGAUUAAACCCGAACUGUUCCUCAGCCAGGUUGAGCA
This 666-nucleotide long non-coding RNA is filed under the name Gossypium barbadense (sea-island cotton). RNAcentral describes it as "long non-coding RNA (GBAR_LNC012444)". Lineage: Eukaryota; Viridiplantae; Streptophyta; Magnoliopsida; Malvales; Malvaceae. The record is from RNAcentral.